RNAcentral lists this ribosomal RNA (551 nucleotides) under Staphylococcus epidermidis. RNAcentral describes it as "bacterial SSU rRNA". It matches the Rfam family "Bacterial small subunit ribosomal RNA", at positions 38 to 571 of the family's 1533-position model. Lineage: Bacteria; Bacillati; Bacillota; Bacilli; Caryophanales; Staphylococcaceae. The record is from RNAcentral.
GGCGGCGUGCCUAAUACAUGCAAGUCGAGCGAACAGACGAGGAGCUUGCUCCUCUGACGUUAGCGGCGGACGGGUGAGUAACACGUGGAUAACCUACCUAUAAGACUGGGAUAACUUCGGGAAACCGGAGCUAAUACCGGAUAAUAUAUUGAACCGCAUGGUUCAAUAGUGAAAGACGGUUUUGCUGUCACUUAUAGAUGGAUCCGCGCCGCAUUAGCUAGUUGGUAAGGUAACGGCUUACCAAGGCAACGAUGCGUAGCCGACCUGAGAGGGUGAUCGGCCACACUGGAACUGAGACACGGUCCAGACUCCUACGGGAGGCAGCAGUAGGGAAUCUUCCGCAAUGGGCGAAAGCCUGACGGAGCAACGCCGCGUGAGUGAUGAAGGUCUUCGGAUCGUAAAACUCUGUUAUUAGGGAAGAACAAAUGUGUAAGUAACUAUGCACGUCUUGACGGUACCUAAUCAGAAAGCCACGGCUAACUACGUGCCAGCAGCCGCGGUAAUACGUAGGUGGCAAGCGUUAUCCGGAAUUAUUGGGCGUAAAGCGCGCG